GGGGAUUUAGCUCAAUGGUAGAGCACUUGCCUAGCAAGCGCAAGGCCCUGGGUUCGGUCCCCAGCUCCG
Rattus norvegicus (Norway rat) is the source of this 69-nucleotide non-coding RNA. NCBI's taxonomy places the organism in Eukaryota, Metazoa, Chordata, Mammalia, Rodentia, Muridae. The record is from Rfam.